Molecule: ribosomal RNA, 424 nt
Filed under: uncultured Pirellula sp.
Lineage: Bacteria; Pseudomonadati; Planctomycetota; Planctomycetia; Pirellulales; Pirellulaceae
Description: bacterial SSU rRNA
Rfam family: Bacterial small subunit ribosomal RNA
Source: RNAcentral
UCGAGAAUCUUCGGCAAUGAGCGCAAGCUUGACCGAGCGAUGCCGCGUGCGGGAUGAAGGCCCUCGGGUUGUAAACCGCUGUCGUAGGGGAGUAAUGGUCAGAGGGUUCUCCCUCUGAUUUGAACAAUCCUAGGAGGAAGGACGGGCUAAGUUCGUGCCAGCAGCCGCGGUAAGACGAACCGUCCAAACGUUAUUCGGAAUCACUGGGCUUACAGAGUUCGUAGGCGGUCCCAAAAGUUAGGUGUGAAAUCCCUCGGCUCAACCGAGGAACUGCGCUUAAAACUGUGGGACUCGAGGGAGAUAGAGGAAAGCGGAACUGAUGGUGGAGCGGUGAAAUGCGUUGAUAUCAUCAGGAACACCGGUGGCGAAGGCGGCUUUCUGGGUCUUACCUGACGCUGAGGAACGAAAGCCAGGGGAGCGAACG